RNAcentral lists this ribosomal RNA (635 nucleotides) under uncultured bacterium. Its description in RNAcentral is "bacterial SSU rRNA". The stretch from base 1 to 544 matches the Rfam family "Bacterial small subunit ribosomal RNA", at positions 338 to 873 of the family's 1533-position model. The record is from RNAcentral.
CCUACGGGAGGCAGCAGUGGGGAAUUUUGGACAAUGGACGCAAGUCUGAUCCAGCAAUGCCGCGUGCAGGAUGAAGGCCUUCGGGUUGUAAACUGCUUUUGUACGGAACGAAAAGGUCUGCCCUAAUACGGUGGGCCCAUGACGGUACCGUAAGAAUAAGCACCGGCUAACUACGUGCCAGCAGCCGCGGUAAUACGUAGGGUGCAAGCGUUAAUCGGAAUUACUGGGCGUAAAGCGUGCGCAGGCGGUUAUAUAAGACAGAUGUGAAAUCCCCGGGCUCAACCUGGGACCUGCAUUUGUGACUGUAUAGCUAGAGUACGGUAGAGGGGGAUGGAAUUCCGCGUGUAGCAGUGAAAUGCGUAGAUAUGCGGAGGAACACCGAUGGCGAAGGCAAUCCCCUGGACCUGUACUGACGCUCAUGCACGAAAGCGUGGGGAGCAAACAGGAUUAGAUACCCUGGUAGUCCACGCCCUAAACGAUGUCAACUGGUUGUUGGAUCUUUACUGUAUCUAGUAACGAAGACGUACGACGUGAGUAGACCGCCGUCGGGAGGUAACGGUCCGCGAGGUUAGUAACGUUACGAAGUAGUUAGUUGGCGNGNGAGAGCGACGACGGACGACGACGGAGGGAGGAGG